RNAcentral lists this long non-coding RNA (2407 nucleotides) under Capsicum annuum. Its description in RNAcentral is "long non-coding RNA (CANN_LNC000917)". The record is from RNAcentral. Lineage: Eukaryota; Viridiplantae; Streptophyta; Magnoliopsida; Solanales; Solanaceae.
GUAGAUCAAGUGUCGAAACGAUUCAUAUGUUAAUAAAUUCUAAUUUUGUGUGCCUAAAUAAUCCACGUAGCAUGUAACGCACAUAAACCUAAAUUGUGCCUACCUAUAUUAUUCAUAGAGCACAUAAAUCUCCACCCUAAAGCAAUCCCCAAUAUUUAUUAUUACAUCAAUAGUAACAUAUGUACAAUAAUAUUACAAACCAAAUAACAAGAACAUAAAACUAAAUAGAACUAAUACAAUUUAUUGUAAACACCCCAGCAACUCUUGCGAUCUCCAAAACACCACCAAUACCUGUUAGAUACAAAUCGAAAGAGCACGACAAGCGCAAAACAAACAACUCAUGAUCCUAAACCACACAUCGUUUCAAAUAGAGGAAUCCAAGAAGAUACGUGCAUAUUAAGCAAGUAUUGUUUCAAAUUAGUUCCUAUAGAUAUGUUUUCUAUAGAAGUAAAAAAAUUGCAUUGAAUGGAAACAUACUGGUGAUGAUAAAUAAUAUAAUAAGAACUAAGAAGAAGACCAAAUAGCUCAAAAUCCAGAAAGCAAAUUACCACCGAGAGGUCAGAAUUAAAGCUCCAAAAGUAAGUAUAGAAGCGAUAAAAUAAGACUGUUUCUUUUCUGUUUCUUUUCCAAAAGUUUUGUAGAAGAGAGUAUAUGUAGUCUGUUGUAACUUCUCAAAAUAAGAGAAUAGGGGUUGUUUAUAUAGUGGAGGGAUAAAUCCACCAAGCCAUAAAAAGGAAAAGAGAAUAUGUUAUGUAAUCAAUCAAUCACAAUUAUAUCAUUCAAAUAAUUUAAAAUCAGUCUAAACUAAUAAAAGGAAAAGAGGUAUCAAUCAACAGAAUAUGUGAUGUAAUCAAUCAACCAAAUUGCCUUAAAUAUGAAGAUCACACAUACUAAUAUAAUCACUCAAAACAAAUAGAAGGAAAGAAAAAUAUCAAUUAAUCUAAAUUUUCUUUUUGAACAUGCAGACUAAUUAAGGAUAAUAAUUAAGGCAAAUCAUUAUGUCACUUAAGGCUAAAAUCGUGUAAAAUUCGAUAAAAGAAAUUAAAAAAGAAAAAGCAUAUUUAGGAUAAUCAAUCAGUCAAAUUUCCUUCUAUAAGCAUGAAAAUCAAUCAAAUUCUUGCCCUGAAGUAUUAAAUUCAAAUCAAUAAUAGUGAAGGAAAGAAAACACUGCCAAGAAAUCAGUACCAAAGCUUGUCACACACUAAACAAAAAGGGAAGAAAUUUCCCCAAUGCAGAAACUAACAAGAUCAGCUAAAUACCAAGUAAACCAAUUAGAACGGGAACAAAUAUAUGAGUAAAUCGACUUCGAUCUUUACCAAUAUGAUUAAACGAUUAUGAGCAAAUAAUCAACCGAACUCGUCAUGUCACAAUGCCAGUUAACACCAAUCACAUAAUAAAUUUCUUCAAAUAAAUAUUUUCAAGUAGAGAUCAUAUUCACAGAAUAACAAACCAUGAACACGAUAUUCGACCUAAUACAUACUAGUAUCAUUACAAUAGAUUCAACAAAAUUCAAUCUAGCAAUCAAGAACACAACAAUUAAAUCAUUCAGUGCCUGAUUCAGAAAAUAGCGUCAGCUAAGCAUGAAAUCGAAAUAUUUGAAACAAAGAAAAUCAGAUCGAAGCCACCCCACGUAUUUCACAUCCACAAACAAAAUAAAGUAAAUCCAAGAACAAUCUUACCGGAGACAAAUUCAUCAUGCAAAAAAUGUUGGAAUUGAAUCCUUGACACUCUCGCGGGUUCGGUCAGAGCAAGCGAAGGCGCUAGUGAGGUUGCCGAUGGUGGCUACGAUGGAGAGGACGAACAGAGGGAGAUGGCAGCGGUUCAAGUGGCGACUGGCUUUACUAUUAUGCCGGCAGAGCCGGCUGGUCUGCUGGUGGUUGAUUCGCCGUAGCUGGCGGAGGCUGGUUCCGUUGGAGUUUUGGUGGUGAGCGUUGCGGCGAUUGGUGGCGGCGCUGGUCGCUGGUUUGGCUGAGGAUAAUGGGUCGUCGGUCGGUGGUGGUUUCUAGAACGAUGCUUCACCGGUCAUUACCUCCGGUGAAUCGACAACGACGGGAGGCAACGCCGAUUUCACGGCUGGACUGAUCAUUUUGGUGGAGCGGCGGCAUCGAUGAAGAGAAGAAAGUGGGGCGGCGGUGGCUGGUUUAUCGGAGGCGGGAGAGGGAGUCCGGCGAAUAGAGGGAUGGUUCGUCGUGAUGGACGCCGACGAAGGUGGUGGCGGCGGCGGUUUGAGUGUUUCUUUUUUUUAGAGAGAAAAUGGAGAGAGAUGAGAGGUAGAGAGAGAGGGAGUUAGGCGGCUUAGAAGAUGAAGAGAGAUGAGAGGUAGAGAGAGAAGGAGUUAGGCGGCUUAUUUUUUGUGAAAAUGAAUUAGGGUUCGGUGUUUUGAACUAAAAAGGACAGAGGAGAAGGG